GGAAUCUGCCCUUUGGUGGGGAAUAACCCGGCGAAAGCCGGGCUAAUGCCGCAUGAGAUCUUCGGAUGAAAGCGGGGGAUCGUAAGACCUCGCGCCGAUGGAUGAGCCCAUGUCGGAUUAGCUAGUUGGUGAGGUAACGGCUCACCAAGGCGACGAUCCGUAGCUGGUCUGAGAGGACGGCCAGCCACACUGGGACUGAGACACGGCCCAGACUCCUACGGGAGGCAGCAGUGGGGAAUAUUGGACAAUGGGCGAAAGCCUGAUCCAGCGACGCCGCGUGUGUGAAGAAGGCCUGCGGGUUGUAAAGCACUUUCGAUGGGAACGAAAUGUGCCGGGCUAAUACCCCGGCAAGCUGACGUUACUCAAUGAAGAAGCACCGGCUAACUCUGUGCCAGCAGCCGCGGUAAUACAGAGGGUGCGA
This 421-nucleotide ribosomal RNA is filed under the name uncultured bacterium. RNAcentral's name for it is "bacterial SSU rRNA". It matches the Rfam family "Bacterial small subunit ribosomal RNA", at positions 121 to 537 of the family's 1533-position model. The record is from RNAcentral.